Molecule: transfer RNA, 97 nt
Filed under: Leifsonia poae
Lineage: Bacteria; Bacillati; Actinomycetota; Actinomycetes; Micrococcales; Microbacteriaceae
Description: tRNA-Ser
Source: RNAcentral
GCUCGCGUGAGUCUCCGUGGUGAGGCGUUCGCGCGAGAGGCGCGAAAUGUCGCGCAUUUCGCCCGAAUGAGCGACGUUCGGCACCGUUCGCGAGCGC